This 352-nucleotide ribosomal RNA is filed under the name uncultured bacterium. RNAcentral describes it as "partial 16S ribosomal RNA". The record is from RNAcentral.
GGAGUCUGGGCCGUGUCUCAGUCCCAGUCUGGAUGAUCAUCCUCUCAAACCAUCUAAGGAUCGUCGACUUGGUGAGCCGUUACCUCACCAACUAUCUAAUCCUACGCAGGCCAGUCCCAAACCGCCGAAGCUUUAAUCCGAAGAUCACAUGCGGUAUUAGCCACUCUUUCGAGUAGUUAUCCCUCAGUUUGGGGUCCGUUCCCACGCGUUACUCAGCCGUCCGCCGCUCGUCAGCAGCUUCACUGUGCUCUCGAAAACUAACCUCCCGCUAAAAAGCCCGGAGUGUCAAGAACACGGUGAAGCCCUGUUACCGCACGACUUGCAUGUAUUAGGCACGCCGCCAGCAUUCAUC